GCAGCAGUAGGGAAUCUUCCACUUAAGUGGGGGAUAACAUUUGGAAACAGAUGCUAAUACCGCAUAAAUCCAAGAACCGCAUGGUUCUUGGCUGAAAGAUGGCGUAAGCUAUCGCUUUUGGAUGGACCCGCGGCGUAUUAGCUAGUUGGUGAGGUAACGGCUCACCAAGGCAAUGAUACGUAGCCGAACUGAGAGGUUGAUCGGCCACAUUGGGACUGAGACACGGCCCAAACUCCUACGGGAGGCAGCAGUAGGGAAUCUUCCACAAUGGACGCAAGUCUGAUGGAGCAACGCCGCGUGAGUGAAGAAGGCUUUCGGGUCGUAAAACUCUGUUGUUGGAGAAGAAUGGUCGGCAGAGUAACUGUUGUCGGCGUGACGGUAUCCAACCAGAAAGCCACGGCUAACUACGUGCCAGCAGCCGCGGUAAUACGUAGGUGGCAAGCGUUAUCCGGAUUUAUUGGGCGUAAAGCGAGCGCAGGCGGCUUUUUAAGUCUGAUGUGAAAGCCCUCGGCUUAACCGAGGAAGUGCAUCGGAAACUGGGAAACUUGAGUGCAGAA
This 557-nucleotide ribosomal RNA is filed under the name uncultured Lactobacillus sp. RNAcentral describes it as "bacterial SSU rRNA". It matches the Rfam family "Bacterial small subunit ribosomal RNA", at positions 111 to 653 of the family's 1533-position model. Lineage: Bacteria; Bacillati; Bacillota; Bacilli; Lactobacillales; Lactobacillaceae. The record is from RNAcentral.